UGUGAAUUAGUGUAUUAGCACUUUAAUCUUUGAUAUUAAAAGGUAAGUUUAAACUUUAUUUACAA
This 65-nucleotide transfer RNA is filed under the name Petalocephala ochracea. RNAcentral describes it as "tRNA-Gln". Lineage: Eukaryota; Metazoa; Arthropoda; Insecta; Hemiptera; Cicadellidae. The record is from RNAcentral.